RNAcentral lists this microRNA (22 nucleotides) under Plutella xylostella (diamondback moth). RNAcentral describes it as "pxy-miR-8507-5p". The record is from miRBase by way of RNAcentral. Lineage: Eukaryota; Metazoa; Arthropoda; Insecta; Lepidoptera; Plutellidae.
GGGGGUUUUUGGAUACGCAGAA